UUUGAAAAUUUAAUUGAAAAAAUCAUAUAUUGAAAGUUUUGGGAUUAAUGGUUUUUUUUUUUGCACAAAAUAUACAAAUGUUAAUAAAAUCAUGGAGAAAUUACAUGUUUACCACUUUCAUGCUACCACUUUUCAUUUUUACCACCAUUAAAGAGAUAUUUUCAAAAAUACUUUCUUCAUCGAAUGACAAAAGACUUUUAUGCACUUGUUCUUUAUAUAUAUAAUAAAUAAAUAUUUAAAUAAAUAAAAAUCUAAAAAAAUAAAAAAUAGUUUUUUUAAUUUUUUUUAAUUAUACUAUUUCUAAAUUCAAACCCUAAACCCUAAAACUCAACUAUAAACUCUAAACCAUCAAUUUUAAACCUUUUUUUUUUAAAUACGAACCCUAAAUCAUCAAUCCUAAACCAUAUUUUUUUUUGAAUUACGAACCCUAAACCCUGAAAAAUCAACUCUAAACUCUAAACCAUCGAUCUUAAACCCUAUUUUUUUUUUAAAUACGAACCCUAAACCCUAAACCAUCAAUCCUAAGCCCUAUUUUUUUUAAAAUACGAACCCUAAACCCUGAAACAUCAACUCUAAACCCUAAACCCCGAAACAUCAACUGUAGACCCUAAACCCUAAACCUUCAAUUCUAAACCCUAAACCCUAAACCUUCAACUCUAAACACUAAAACAUAACUCUAAACCCUAAACGCUAAACUUAAACUCUAAACCCUAAACCAUCAACACUAAACCCUAAACAAUCAACACUAAACCCUAAACCCUAAAAAAAUAAACUUUAAACCCUAAACCCUAAAAAAUUAACCCUAAACCCUAACACAUCAACUCGAAACCCUAACUAAACAUUCAACUCUAAACCCUAAACCCUAAACCCUAAACCCUAAAACC
This 884-nucleotide long non-coding RNA is filed under the name Brassica napus (rape). Its description in RNAcentral is "long non-coding RNA (BNAP_LNC023369)". Lineage: Eukaryota; Viridiplantae; Streptophyta; Magnoliopsida; Brassicales; Brassicaceae. The record is from RNAcentral.